UACGAAGGGGGCUAGCGUUGUUCGGAUUAACUGGGCGUAAAGGGUGCGUAGGCGGGUUUUUAAGUCAGGGGUGAAAUCCCGAGGCUCAACCUCGGAACUGCCUUUGAUACUGGAAAUCUUGAGUCUGGGAGAGGUGAGUGGAACUGCGAGUGUAGAGGUGAAAUUCGUAGAUAUUCGCAAGAACACCAGUGGCGAAGGCGACUUACUGGACUGUAACUGACGCUGAGGCAUGAAAGCGU
RNAcentral lists this ribosomal RNA (239 nucleotides) under uncultured bacterium. Its description in RNAcentral is "partial 16S ribosomal RNA". It matches the Rfam family "Bacterial small subunit ribosomal RNA", at positions 524 to 762 of the family's 1533-position model. The record is from RNAcentral.